RNAcentral lists this ribosomal RNA (468 nucleotides) under uncultured bacterium. Its description in RNAcentral is "partial 16S ribosomal RNA". It matches the Rfam family "Bacterial small subunit ribosomal RNA", at positions 28 to 507 of the family's 1533-position model. The record is from RNAcentral.
GACGAACGCUGGCGGCGUGCUUAACACAUGCAAGUCGAACGGAAAGGCCUUGCUUUUGUGGGGUGCUCGAGUGGCGAACGGGUGAGUAACACGUGAGUAACCUGCCCUUGACUUUGGGAUAACUUCAGGAAACUGGGGCUAAUACCGGAUAGGAGCUCCUGCUGCAUGGUGGGGGUUGGAAAGUUUAGGCGGUUGGGGCUGGACUCGCGGCUUAUCAGCUUGUUGGUGGGGUAGUGGCUUACCAAGGCUUUGACGGGUAGCCGGCCUGAGAGGGUGACCGGGCACAUUGGGACUGAGGUACGGCCCAGACUCCUACGGGAGGCAGCAGGGGGGAAUAUUGCACAAUGGGCGGAAGCCUGAUGCAGCAACGUCGCGUGCGGGAUGACGGCCUGCGGGUUGUAAACAGCUUUCGCCUGUGACGAAGCGUGAGUGACGGUAAUGGGUAAAGAAGCACCGGCUAACUACGUG